This 497-nucleotide ribosomal RNA is filed under the name uncultured bacterium. RNAcentral's name for it is "partial 16S ribosomal RNA". It matches the Rfam family "Bacterial small subunit ribosomal RNA", at positions 28 to 507 of the family's 1533-position model. The record is from RNAcentral.
GAUGAACGCUGGCGGCGUGCCUAAUACAUGCAAGUCGAGCGAACAGACGAGGAGCUUGCUCCUCUGACGUUAGCGGCGGACGGGUGAGUAACACGUGGAUAACCUACCUAUAAGACUGGGAUAACUUCGGGAAACCGGAGCUAAUACCGGAUAAUAUAUUGAACCGCAUGGUUCAAUAGUGAAAGACGGUUUUGCUGUCACUUAUAGAUGGAUCCGCGCCGCAUUAGCUAGUUGGUAAGGUAACGGCUUACCAAGGCGACGAUGCGUAGCCGACCUGAGAGGGUGAUCGGCCACAAUGGAACUGAGACACGGUCCAGACUACUACGGGAGGCAGCAGUAGGGAAUCUUCCGCAAUGGGCGAAAGCCUGACGGAGCAACGCCGCGUGAGUGAUGAAGGUCUUCGGAUCGUAAAACUCUGUUAUUAGGGAAGAACAAAUGUGUAAGUAACUAUGCACGUCUUGACGGUACCUAAUCAGAAAGCCACGGCUAACUACGUG